This 2023-nucleotide long non-coding RNA is filed under the name Sorghum bicolor (sorghum). RNAcentral describes it as "long non-coding RNA (SBIC_LNC006432)". The record is from RNAcentral. Lineage: Eukaryota; Viridiplantae; Streptophyta; Magnoliopsida; Poales; Poaceae.
AUCGAAUAAGCUCCUAGAAAAAAUUUAUAGAGCAUAAGAUAAUAUUAACUUUGUAUAUACAUGUUUUGCAUCCAUAUAGAUGUGAAACCGUCGCCCCGCCCAUUUCAUCUCUCACGUAUCUGCUAUCCUAAAAAGAAAUAGUUGAAUUUAAAUAAUGGGCCCUGAAUCUAGACUGGAGAAAUAUAAAAUGGCAAUUAGGCCAAUUCAACAUGUAUGGGCUGAAACUAGAGAAAGAAAAAAUAAAACUGGGCUGAAAUUAGACAUGAGAAGGAAGAAAGAAAAAUACUAAGGACUCACACGCACUUGGGCCUUCCGCUCGUUAGGAAACCAUGACGUCGCGAGAGCAUUUUGACAUUUUUAAUUCCUAAAACGAUAUGACAAGUAAAAAAAGUCAUCUCCAAGUGUUUGGAUUUUUUUUCGUUUUGGAUUUUUUUUUCAUUUUGGUUUUUUCAUUUUUUAUCUUUAUCGAGUGUCAGGUAUUUGAGCUUUUUGCCGAGUGCUAAAGAUACUCGAUAAAGCCUCUGUGUCCAGUAGUGCCAUAUAAAUGAAUCAUAUUCAAAUUCACGACUUCAAUAUAUGUCAAUUAAAUCCAAAUUAUUCAAAUGUAAAUUAUGUAGGUGGAUUGCAGCUCUUGUAGAGAUAGAGCAAAAUUGUUUUACGCCUUUUGUUAUAUCGUUCCUUUUCUCUAGUGCUUUGUAGAUUUUUUAAAUAGGCUAUUCACCCCAUCUAGCUAUAUUUGGACCUUUCAGAAGGGAAGGAGGGAGGGCGCGGGGCAGGCCGGGCUGCGUUUGCUCGCUGGGCCGAGGCCGCGAGUGAGGAGGGAAAGAGUAGUGCGCUGUUGGGCCUGGUCCUGGGCCGUGGGGGGGCACCCAGGGGGCCGGUUUCGGCGAGCUGGGCUACCAGGCCGAGGCAGGUAGCAAACCUGUUUCUUCUUUCCUUUUUUUCCUUUUAUUCGAAAGCUAUUUUCACAUCAUUUCAAAACAUUUUGAAUUAGUUGGAUUUUUGACAAACCACACAUCUCAAUAACAUAAAUGCACAAGCAUGAAUGCACAACAGUUUUCCAAACUCCUAUGAUAAAUUUUAUUUUAAUGAAAAAUAUUAUUUCCUUAUAUUUUCAUGAGCACAAAAAUUCAUAAAUAAAUCAUUUUAGCUCUAUUUUCAAGAAACAAUUUUUAGGGUGUUAGAUUGAGUUCUUUACCGAGUGCUAAAAACAGUGGACAAAGCCUGUAACAUCCCGGAUUUUUACGAAAACCAAAAAUACGAAUUUUUUAAAAUUUUUCCUGUAAUCGUGUGGAGCAUAUAGUUUUUAGAUCUAACUCGAUCCUAACCCGCUAACAAAUCGUGGCAUACAUAUAGAUUUGUUUCUAGGCGAGUGCUUUUGUUCGUGAGUCGGUUGGGAGGGUUUUGAGUUUCUUUUGGAGUGCACAAAUCCGUAGCAAGGUCUUCCCGAAUUUUCAUUGAGCCUAUCUCAAAGGCUAAGCGAAUCCCUUCUCAACCUUUUCGUUGGAGUACGUCUCAAACUCCUUUGGAUCUUUUUGUACUCUUCCCAAGAUUCCCUUCUCCAAACCAUUACCCCUGUUGAACUCAUCCCAAUCUCUUCUCUACCUAUAACUCUUUUGAUAUCUAUUCCAAAGCCCCCAAAUCCCCUUUAUUAAAAUGGAAAUCUUUCUUCUUCUCCCUUGGGCCAAAAUCCUCUUUCCUCCCUUCCUGUCCAGCCCAGGCCGGCCCUACUCCCCUCUACCUUUUCUUCUCCUCCUUCUGACCCACGUGACCAGCCAGCCUGCUCGCUUUGCACCAGCCCAGCAUCCCUCUCUCUUGACCCAGCUCGCAGUUAGGAGCCCAGCGGGCCUGCUCUUUGUUGACGGUCCUUAAUGCUCACAUUUAACCAUCAACUAAUCAUGGAAAAAGACUUAUAUGCAGCCAACACCUAGACUUAGGGUUUUAUCUGACAGAAUUCCACGAGUUUUGUUGUUUGUCUAUUUCUGCAGGGGGUUAUCAGGAAAUAUGAAAGAAAGGCCCACAC